GGAUGCCCUGGGUAGCUGUUCUAGAAUGGGAGCUUUUGCAUAUUGACACAGAAAUGAGAGGCCAGGCAGUCCGAGCAGAGCUCUGAAGCUGGACCUGUGCACUAAAUAGUCAAGAACUCAGCUGGGCUGCAGAAAAGCUGUGGAGCACAAUGC
RNAcentral lists this long non-coding RNA (153 nucleotides) under Cavia porcellus (domestic guinea pig). RNAcentral's name for it is "lncRNA (ENSCPOG00000035610.1)". The record is from RNAcentral. Lineage: Eukaryota; Metazoa; Chordata; Mammalia; Rodentia; Caviidae.